GGGAGCUGGCAAAAGCUGAAAAAUCAGGACAUGAUUUCUAAACUGCCACCACUCCCUCAUUUUCAAGCCCACCUACACAAAUCUUAAAUCAAAACGUUGAGCUAUCCCUGCUGCCACUAAAAAUGUCCACAGCUAAGCCAUAGUCCUGAUAGUUUUCACGAUAUGGCCAUUUGUUUGCAACUCACGCCGUCCAUUGACAUUCAUUGAAUCUCCACUCCAGCCAGCUUAAAUUUGAAGGGCAAUUUCUAAACUGCGACUGUGCCUUCAUGUUUAAUACUUCAGAGACAUACUAUGCAUCAAAAUGUAGGUCUGGGUCUUGUGAUUCUCACAAUUUAAAGCUCUUCGCUGUAGGAUGUAUAGUUUUUAAAAUACGACCGUUUGAAGAUGGCAACCGCCAAAAUACUCUGACCUGUGCCAGGCUGGAGCAGCAAGUGAUGUCAUAGACAGGGCCUUUU
Pelobates cultripes (western spadefoot toad) is the source of this 455-nucleotide non-coding RNA. NCBI's taxonomy places the organism in Eukaryota, Metazoa, Chordata, Amphibia, Anura, Pelobatidae. The record is from the annotation of a GenBank genome assembly.